UGACGACUACAUUGUUUGGGUUUGUCUCAUUGUUGAAGGUCAUGCUGUUGCCUGUAAUUGCUUACAUUCACUUCAUUUCAACUUUGUUGGAUAGUUUUCGCAUUUGCAAUUAUACCUCAUCACCUUUAAUAUUUUUAUAUCUACUAGUUUAAUUUGGAAAUGCAUAAAAAAAAUCCCCAGUUAAAAUCUACCAUAUUUGUUUACCUUUUGUACACAGUCACUGUAUAUGAGACAAUCUCUUAGUUCAUGUCGUAAUCUGUCACAUGAUUUCUUAUAUUUACCAUCAUCAUCAGCCAUUGAAGAAUUAUCUUCCAAUCACCUAAUAGAACAAAUAAAAGGAAAAGGUUAUAUUUCACAUAAACCAAUACUUUACACCAAUUUGUUGCUAUAUUAAAUUGCAAUUGAAGAGCAUUCUCAAAUUUGUUUGUUUAGGUAAUGUGAAUUUAAAUUGAUUUUAUAUGUGACAUAUAAAAUCUUUACUUCUUCAUCUGAUGAGUUCAUUAUUCAAUCUUAAUGUUUUUAAACUAAUUGAUUAAAGAAUGUAUUCUUCUGAGGUUUCGUUCAAGAAUUAUUUCAAAAACAUGUAAUACAUCUGGAAAAUAGCGAUGAAUUUAAAAAAUGUUAUAAUCAAACUGAACUCUUUGAAAAAAUUGUGUACUUUCAAUUAGUAGUUUAUGAGUAAAAAAAAUAUUUUUUUUUAUCACUAAUCAAUUCAGUUUUUUUAGUCAAAAUUUUGAGAAAAUGGGUGAGGGGCACAAGAAAUUAUUUUACCAGAAACAUUGUUACAUGUAGGCCUACAUCCCAAUCCCCUACAACUUUCCUUAUACUUUAGAUAUAUAUAUUUUUCAAUCAUUUAUAAAAAAACAAAGAAGUUAAAAUAAUAUGCAUUUUGUUCUUAAAACAGAGAAAAUUGACAAAAUUGACAGAAUUGUCAAUUUGACAUGAAAAAGAGAGCUGUAGUGUCGUGGUUAGUGCAUCAGACUACUAACACAAAGGUUCUGGUUUGAUUCCCUUUUCGGAAUGAAAAUUUCAGAGACUGAAUUUUCGGCUCUCCUUUGACACAAUUUGCUAGUAUGGUCUUGAGGAAACGAUGAUAGUCCGUUGGAAGGGGACAAUAAAUGGCUGACUAAUGUUAAGAGAGAGCCAUAUCUCAAUGUAUCUCUUGCACGUUAAAGACACCCAAGGCAGCACUCGCACCCACAAAGCGAAAAGGGAUUAAUAUAUAAGUUGCAAAACUUGUUUCCCAAUUUACUAUAAAUAAAUAUGUUUAAACUUAACUAAGACAUGAAAAAGCAUCAAAAUAUUAACACCUACCUUAAGUGGUUUUUUUUUAACUAGAUGUGUCAAAGCACACAAAGUUAAUCACAUACCAAAAAUCAGCCCAAUACUAAGGCGUUUAGCCAAACACUCUGUAUAAUGGUUUGUUGCGGAAUGAUGGAAUGACCGAAUUUCGGAUGGACGGAAUUACGGAAUGACUGACAAGGGUAAAACUAUAUGGCACUGACAACUUUGUUGCAGGGCCAUAAAAAGUUAAAUUUAUUCAGAUUGAUCCAUUUCAUCUAUAUUAAAAGUAUGAAAAAAAGUUUAAUUGUGAAACUGUGGUCUUUUGCACGAUAAAAGCCCAAAAAUGGGUAAAAAUUGAUUAAAAUGGGAAAAUAAUCAAAAUUGAGUACUUACAAAGGGCCGUUACAAGAAAGGAAGUGCACCACAAUAUGAUUUUUUCUUCACCAAUUAUUUUUUAAGUCUUAUAAACCCAAACAUAAGGUUAAAACCAAUUAUUUUUUAAGUCUUAUAAACCCAAACAUAAGGUUAAGACAAUAUUUUAGUUCUAGAAAUUGUUGGCUCCUCAGACAUUGUCAGAGGCAUUGUGGAAAUUGCUGUUCAUCUGUAUGGUAUGUAAAGUAGUGUUGUUCUGCGUUUUUUUCCAUUUUACAGUAAUCUACCUUGGUCCUAGCUUGUUUGCUAAUAGCUUUCUUUCUAGAAUGGAUUGGCAAUCUUUGACUUGGAAAAGGGUUUGUAAUGUUAUCCAUAUUGUAAUGUACAAAGACGGAUCAUAUGGAUGUAAGGGUUCCUUAAACAAAUUUGGACAUCUAGACGAGUGUUGCCUAAACAAAUUAAGACAUAUAGACGAGUGCCUAGAGAUUGUUGCUACAUUGUAAUUAGUAUGCCAACAAAAGAAAACAGCCUGCAAAGAACCAUAUAUUAUUUGCAUAUCAGAAUACUCCAGUUCAGCAGUUGAUCUGAAAUUAAUGCUGCUUUUUAAUUAAUACUUUGUGCAAGUUGUCCAUUUUCUACAUUUGAAAAUACCUGUACCAAGUCAGGAAUAUGACAGUUGUUGUCCAUUCAAUUGAUGUUUUAUCAUUUGAUUUUGCCAUUUGAUUACGGACUUUCCAUUUUGAAUUUUCCUCAUAGUCGAUAGAGUUCAGUAUUUUUGCUAUUUUACUUUUGUCCUAAUUCAUGUAAUUAGGUGUCCCCUAUUACCAUAGAAAAAUUUAAAAAAUCUAAUUAAAAAAAAAAAUGUUCUUGCAAAAUAAUCAUUCUACUAAUACAUGUAAACUUGUGCAUUGUUAACUUUUUUUAAGACUUUUUCAUUUUCAAACAUUUGCGCAGAAAUAUACAUUGUACUUAAAAACUUAAAUAACAAUAACUUCACAACUAAAAUCCCUAACAACAGAACCAAAAUAAGAAACGUUCUGGUUUUUUUUUUCCAUUCCUUUUUAACAGAUUUUAAAGUUAAAAUAUGUUUGAAUUAAAAAAAGUUAUUCUACAGACUUCCUUCCCUUUCACAGGUUAUGCCUGACUCUUAUCAUACCUUUAUCUUUGGUUCAUUAAAAUAAGCCAACGGCUUUACUGACCCUUCUGGUGAAUGCAAUUUCUUGUCUUAAUAAUAUAUUUAAAUAUAUUAGACUUAUUAAAAAUAAAAAUAAAUAUUUCGGUGUGUGCAACUGAACACUUAACCUGAACAUAUGAAUUUAUACUGGUUUCAAUUUUCGCCGUUACUAAUUAAAAUUACAAAGUCUUCUCACAGUUAAAUUGACAGGUUUUUCAAUGAUCCACUUCUACUGAAAAAGUAUAAGUCUAUGGCGUUUUACACUGUUUAAAAGUUUAAAGAGUGACCUCUAGUAUUUAUUAGAUUGUUUACCAUAUAGGCUAUCUGUUGAUAUCAUCUCUUUAUUUUAUAUAUAUACAUUGUUAAUAAAUAUACAUUAUAUAGUGUGCUUUCUUUUCCUUGUUGUAACGAUUUAAUUGUAUUCAAAUAUUAAUCAUUUUGUAAUCAUUUGUACCAAAUUUAUUGUGAUUAUUCUGGGUCUUUAAUUACAUAAAAUAUAUUGAUUUGAUUUAUUUGAUUUGUAUAGGAAUUUUCCGUGUUCGAUUGACUAAUAUGGGCGAAGUCCAAUACAUAGAAAAAUAAUAAAAAAAAAAAAAAAUCGGGAAAUUUUCCCGAAUUUUCACUGUACUAAUCAAAUCGUUCAAUUUUUUUUCGUGUUUUUAAAUUCUGAUCUGCGCACGCAGAAAUUACUUCCUUUUUCGGUCUUGUCGUGAGACUUUAUUAGUCUAGUAAAAUAUAGGAAUCAAGAACACAAUACAAUAUUUUUAAUUUCUUUUUUGUAUUUUUGCGUUAUUGUUUAAUUGAACUUUUAAAUGACUCAUAACUUAAAAACGCACAAUAAAUCCCUAACAACGAAAAAAUCGGAAACGUUACAUAUUUCCGUUUCUUUUUUCACAAUAUUUUAAAUUACAAAAAAAUAAUCAUCGACUUCGUUCCUUCACAGGUAAUGCUGCCAUAUAUUAUGUGCGAGUUGUCAUGGUAAAUAUACAAUUGUUUGACUUGUCUUGGGCCGAGUUGAUCCGCACUAUUGUUUUAUUGUAAACAUUUUCAAAGACAAUAUUUUAUUAGAGUGCCUAGGUCAUUUAAGAUAAUAGAAUAUAGGAAGAUGUGGUGUGAGUGCCAAUGAGGAAAAAUUCCAACAUGAUGUGUUUGGACAAAACAUGAUAAAUUGUAAAUAAUUCGUACCUUUACAUAAAUUUGAACUUAUAAAUUAGCAGAAAGAUAACUAUGCAAUGUUCCUGUUAUGAAACAUGGGCGCUGACAUCUUGUUUAACUGUUUCUACAGCAUUCAGU
This 4123-nucleotide long non-coding RNA is filed under the name Mytilus galloprovincialis (Mediterranean mussel). The record is from RNAcentral. Lineage: Eukaryota; Metazoa; Mollusca; Bivalvia; Mytilida; Mytilidae.